AUGAGCCUGCCCUGGGUAGGGUUGGCCUCUGCUAUCAGAGUCUUACAGCCACCGCUAUCUCUGAUGGACACAAGCGCCGCCUCAUCGAUGGUGCCCCAAGACCAGCCCUUGCCUGCAGAAGCAGCCAGUACCAGGGCUGGGGUCCCACUCCCCAGGGGCCAAGGGCCCGGGCAGCAGAACAAUCACAGGCCUAGCCCUGGGGAGCACGGUCGAUGGGGGCAGCGGUCAACAGCAGGAGAGGCCCGCGCGUCAGGAGCGCGCACCGGGAGCGCGCACCCGAUUGGCGGUGGAGCGCGCAGGCCGCCCCUGGGUCCACAGGCUGCCUAGGUCCCUGUCUCUGCGCCCCGGGUCCCAGCAGCUCUUUUCACUAUCCCCGCGCCCGGGUUCCCGCUCUCCUGGACCCCGCGGCCCCUGUCCCGGUCCCCAAACCCCGGUCCCCUGGGCUUGAGCUCAUGGAGCAGCUGCUGCGUACCGAACUGCGCACCGCGACCCUGCGGGCCUUCGGG
Molecule: long non-coding RNA, 506 nt
Filed under: Fukomys damarensis (Damara mole-rat)
Lineage: Eukaryota; Metazoa; Chordata; Mammalia; Rodentia; Bathyergidae
Description: lncRNA (ENSFDAG00000027984.1)
Source: RNAcentral